CCGGUCUCGGUCUCGACCAUCACAAUUGAUAAUUCCCUAUGGGUAUGAAAGGAGGCGUAAGUCAAGCGCCAGGGCGGAAACACCAAAACGUUUCUUUAACCGGAAAGCAAACUUUUAUUUUCGUUUAUUAAAAGCAGAAGGCCAGCAGGAAAGGGUAGCCAAGGGUUGACCCGUCCGUGGGUCUUGCAGAUCUAACAGCUCAGGACAAGACUGGCAGAUCCGGGAAUCACAUUCAGCGCCCAGUCCAGCAAGCUCGUGGAUAGGUGCGGGUUAGAGAGAGACUCGGGAGGAGCGGCAGCCCCGCCGGGAACCCCUCCUUGCGCAUCUCCGGCGACCCCAGCUUCAGCCGCCUCUCGCCUGGAUGCUUUGUUUAUGUGGUGAAAGGAGGAAACGUGGAGCGAUCCAAGCGCAGUUUUUUUUUUUCCUUUUAACUAAAUGUGCGUGUAAUCUCAACGUUUCUCGGAUGUGUGUCCUCAGUGAACUCGACGUUCUUGGGGGAAACCUAUGAACACGGAGCAGGACACGAAAAGCCAACUCUGGUUGUGGUACCAUCUGCAGUGAAAGCCUUCUCGUGGCUCUUCCCUACUCCGCGUCCUGGAGCGGGGCAGAGGAAGACACCCAAGUGCAUCAGUGUUUAUCAGAUGCCAGAAGUGAAAUCUCUUCUCCACCCCCUGUAGAGUGUGGGCUGGCCUUGAUGACUUACUUCAACAAAUUUGAUACGGUGGAAGUGGUGGUGUCCCAGUUCCUCAAGAAGCUUUGCAGCUUCCACCUUUAUUCCCUUGGUGUGGAGAAGCCUAAGAUGAAAGACCAUGAAGAGAGAAAGGGCCCUGGCUGUUUCAGCUCUCCCUACUGAGCCUAGCCCCUCACACACCUGCUAACUGAUUGCUGCCUCGUGAGCCCAGGCAAAAUCAAGAGAAGAUGUUCUGAAUCUCGAGCAGAAUCAUGAAAAAGAACAGAUCAUUGUUUUAAGCCACUAAGAUUUGAGGUUUGUUACACAGCAACAGAUAACCAUACUUGUCUUAUUAUCUGCAAUUAUAACAAUCAUAAAAC
Non-coding RNA from Manis javanica (Malayan pangolin), 1050 nucleotides. The record is from RefSeq and is a predicted model, not a curated record. Lineage: Eukaryota; Metazoa; Chordata; Mammalia; Pholidota; Manidae.